RNAcentral lists this ribosomal RNA (241 nucleotides) under uncultured bacterium. RNAcentral describes it as "partial 16S ribosomal RNA". It matches the Rfam family "Bacterial small subunit ribosomal RNA", at positions 524 to 764 of the family's 1533-position model. The record is from RNAcentral.
UACAGAGGAGCCAAGCGUUAUCCGGAAUGAUUGGGCGUAAAGCGUCCGCAGGUGGCUGUGUAAGUCUGCUGUUAAAUAGUGAGGCUCAACCUCAUAAAGGCAGUGGAAACUACACGGCUAGAGUGCGUUCGGGGCAGAGGGAAUUCCUGGUGUAGCGGUGAAAUGCGUAGAGAUCAGGAUGAACACCGGUGGCGAAAGCGCUCUGCUAGGCCGCAACUGACACUGAGGGACGAAAGCUAGG